CCUACGGGAGGCUGCAGUGAGGAAUAUUGGUCAAUGGGCGCGAGCCUGAACCAGCCAAGUCGCGUGAGGGAUGACUGCCCUACGGGUUGUAAACUUCUUUUAUAAAGGAAUAAAGUGAGGCACGUGUGCCUUUUUGUAUGUACUUUAUGAAUAAGGAUCGGCUAACUCCGUGCCAGCAGCCGCGGUAAUAAGGGGGAUCCGAGCGUUUUCCGGGUUUUUUGGGUUUUAAGGGGGGCGAGGUGGGUUUUUAAGUCAGUUGUGAAAGUUUGCGGGUCAAACGUAAAAUUGCAAUUGAUACUGGCAGUCUUGAGUACAGGUGAGGUAGGCGGAAUGCGUGGUGUAGCGGUGAAAUGCUUAGAUAUCACGAAGAACUCCGAUUGCGAAGGCAGCUUACGAGUCUGCCACUGACAUUGAGGCACGAAAGUGUGGGUAUCAAACAGGAUUAGAUACCCGAGUAGUC
RNAcentral lists this ribosomal RNA (460 nucleotides) under uncultured bacterium. RNAcentral's name for it is "partial 16S ribosomal RNA". It matches the Rfam family "Bacterial small subunit ribosomal RNA", at positions 338 to 795 of the family's 1533-position model. The record is from RNAcentral.